This 164-nucleotide ribosomal RNA is filed under the name Brachypodium retusum. Its description in RNAcentral is "5.8S ribosomal RNA". It matches the Rfam family "5.8S ribosomal RNA". Rfam says of the family: 5.8S ribosomal RNA (5.8S rRNA) is a component of the large subunit of the eukaryotic ribosome. It is transcribed by RNA polymerase I as part of the 45S precursor that also contains 18S and 28S rRNA. The record is from RNAcentral. Lineage: Eukaryota; Viridiplantae; Streptophyta; Magnoliopsida; Poales; Poaceae.
GGCACGACUCUCGGCAACGGAUAUCUCGGCUCUCGCAUCGAUGAAGAACGUAGCGAAAUGCGAUACCUGGUGUGAAUUGCAGAAUCCCGCGAACCAUCGAGUCUUUGAACGCAAGUUGCGCCCGAGGCCACCCGGUCGAGGGCACGCCUGCCUGGGCGUCACGC